UACGAGAGUCCCAAGCAUUGCCCGGAAUCACUGGGUGUAAAGAGUAUGUAGGUGGUUUGAUAAGUAGAGCAUGAAAGACCGAAGCUUAACUUCGCGUUUGUUCUCUAAACUAUCAUUCUCGAAUCAGGAAAAGGUAAGCGGAAUUCUAAGUGUAGGGGUGCAAUCCGUAGAUACUUAGAAGAACACCAAAAGCGAAGGCAGCUUACUAGGACUGUAUUGACACUGAGAUACGAAAGCGUGGGGAGCGAAAAGG
This 253-nucleotide ribosomal RNA is filed under the name uncultured bacterium. RNAcentral's name for it is "partial 16S ribosomal RNA". It matches the Rfam family "Bacterial small subunit ribosomal RNA", at positions 524 to 776 of the family's 1533-position model. The record is from RNAcentral.